GAUGAACGCUGGCGGCGUGCUUAACACAUGCAAGUCGAACGGAAAGGCCCAAGCUUGCUUGUGUACUCGAGUGGCGAACGGGUGAGUAACACGUGGGUGAUCUGCCCUGCACUUCGGGAUAAGCCUGGGAAACUGGGUCUAAUACCGGAUAGGACCACAUUUUGGAUGGUGUGGUGGAAAGUUUUUCGGUGUGGGAUGAGCUCGCGGCCUAUCAGCUAGUUGGUGGGGUAAUGGCCUACCAAGGCGUCGACGGGUAGCCGGCCUGAGAGGGUGUACGGCCACAUUGGGACUGAGAUACGGACCAGAGUCCUACGUGAGGCAGCAGUGGGGAAUCUUGCCCAAUGAGCGCACGCCUGAGGCGGCGACCUUCGGGUUGUGAAGCCGUCCUGUGGGUAGUGAACAGCUGUCGCUAGAUACGCCGCGGAAGUGACGGUACCCGGAGAAGAAGCACCGGCUAACUACGUG
This 465-nucleotide ribosomal RNA is filed under the name uncultured bacterium. RNAcentral describes it as "partial 16S ribosomal RNA". It matches the Rfam family "Bacterial small subunit ribosomal RNA", at positions 28 to 507 of the family's 1533-position model. The record is from RNAcentral.